UUAUUUUAUACAUAUAUACUAUCAUUAAGUCAUUAACAACAUUGAAUAUACAUUUAAACUCCUCCUUUUUAUGCAAUGAGUGUUCUAUUCUAAAUCACAAAAGAAUGGUUGUGUAUUUGUUUACAGCUCCCACAACCAAAAUCCACAUAUAAAAACAAAGUAAACAAGAAAACCGGUAGCUUGAAACUCCAACAUACACUAACCGUUCUAUUCAUCACUUCCAAAUCACUCUUCAUAAUUAUAUUCCAGAAAUGUAAUGAUGACAAACACACAGAACAACAAGCAUCAAAAUUAUUAUUAUCAAAUACCGAAACGGCAUAAUCAAACCAGAAGCUAAACCUAAACGAAAACGGAUUGGACUCGAAACCAAUAUGCAUUGAGAUUGCAGAUGGUAUUCGACUUCAAACACAAGGCUUCAACCACACGAUCACAUCAUUUUCAUCAGAACACAUCGGAAGAGAAUUGUGCGACAUUCUAUUUCAAACAAUCAAAGGAAGUAAAUUGAAAUAAAUCAAAAACGGAGCCUACAAACAGUAUAACACGACUCCAAUGGUUACCGUAAUGCCGAAAUGAAACAACUCAAAACAGAUGAUAUCAAUUCAAUUAACAAACAUUACUCAACAGGAACAUCGGCAUCAUAACAAAGAGCAUGGUAUUAGUGACACAUCAAAGUACAACACCAGAAUAUUCAUCAUGGUUGCAGUCUAUUUUAUCACAUGAACAAAUGGCACAACCGAUAGUAAAACAUACCAAUAAGGUUAAAUGUGAACGCCCGGACACCACACUUAAAAAACACCAAACCAAUCAAUACAUCCAAAUCAAAACUUAAAUAUGCAACGGUUCAGAAUGAAAACUUCAGAUUUCAAUGUUACCACGAAUCCGUAAUCUCGAGGGUGAGGCUCCUAUGAGCGUUGUUGCAACGGUGUGAGCAGUGUCGGUUCCGUUAUCGUCGAAAUAUGCCCGGUAUUUUACUACCACAUUUUCCGGCGGCCUUCAACCGAACGAUUCGAAGUUAUGGCUGCCUCGUGUGGUCAACGUCACGAAACGGAGCGGUGGUUCUGAUGUUGUUGUUGCCUUGACUUCAUCGAUGAAGCUCAGUAAGAAGGGUUUCGUGUCGACGGUUGGAGCUGAGGUGGAGGGGUCGUGAUAGUGGUGGUGGUUUGUGCGGUGGAUGGCGGAAGUGAAGAGUGACGAUGGAGAAAGGGUGAACGGCGAGGGUGGAAACGGAGGGUUUACGGUUGGAAGAGGAUGAAGAGUGAGCGAAGGUGUAUCGGCGGUAGAGAGGUUGGACGGAGGGUGAAUGAAGGGGGUUUCACGUGGUGGUCAGAGGUUGGAGGAGAUGAUGGUUACGGUGAUUUGGGUGGCGAUUUUGAUGGCUGACGAUGAUGGAUUUUUGUGUGGUUAGGAGAAGAUGGAAGGUGAGAUAUGUGUGUGAGAGAGUGAGGGAGUCUGAGUGCCCUCCAAUUGUGAGUGGGUGAGGUCAGUAUAAAUGAGAGGGAGACGCGUGGCAUUUUAGUGAGUGAGGUGAGGAGAAAAUGUGUCAGCUGGCCUUUUAUUACCGUUGGAGGUGUUAAUGAUAUUAGCUGGCAAUGAUUUAUAAGGAAUCCAAUGUUAUCCUCAUUAUUUUUAUUAUUAAAGAAAAUAAAUAUAUUAAAAAUUCAUUUUCCAAAUUCAAACUAAAUAUAUAGAGAAAAUUCUAAUUAAUUAAUUUGGAUAUUUGGACAAAGAAAAAUAAAAUAAAAUAACUAAUUAGGAAUAAAAGUCGGGCGAACAUUUGCCUUAAAAAUAAAAUCGGACGCACCAGAAUGAUCAUCAUAAAAUAUACUUAUUGAAAAAAAUACAGCGUUUCUUCAAAUUCAGAAAUAAAUUUGCACCGGUUGAAAGGCUUAGGCGGGUCAGAAUGCCACUGAAACAGCCGCCGAAAAAUGCAACGAGCACGCCAGGUUAAACUACGUGAACCGUAGAUUAAUAAUACCGGUGUCUGUAAUUUUAAUUUUGAAACUUUUUACCCGCUGAUUUACGCACAUUCUUGAGAAAUGAUUCAACCGAUUUGUCUGUAUUUUCAAUAAAUUUAUCCUGACUGAUAUUUCAGGUAUUAUUCAUGAUGGAAUGUAUGUCAUGUUAUGCAUAUGAUGCAAAAUAAAAAUGAGAUUAAUUCUAUGAAAAUUUAAAUAUGCCCGGACAAAAUUGGGGUAUGACAAUAUUAUAAGAUAUGGGCCAUAUACACUUAAGUGGACUUUUUAGGUUAUAGCCCACACAAGUGGUUCUAUAAAUAGAACCCUUGUGCAGAAGCAUUAGGGCAGUUGCAAUUUCGUUUUUCUCUCUCUCUCUCUCUCUCUCUCUCUCUCUCUCUCUCUCUCUCUCUUCAAGCCUUCAAGUCGUAGCGAGCUAGCACCUAAUUGAAGGAAUCCGUUGCGUGUGGACUUCAACGUUCGUGAUCGCUCCGUAGAUCUGCAUCAAAGGUUACAAUCUCCACAAGAGGUAACGAUUCUAUCACUGAUCAUGCCCAUUCGUAAGGAUCAUUAAAGGAGAAAUUUUAAAUUCCGUUGCAUUUUGGAUCGCCCUUCUCCUUCAAGUCCCUCAGUAGCAAUGUCUUUUUCUGAUCUAGAUGAAUCAUCAUCUUUCUUAGUUUGAGGUUCCACCUCAAGAGAGGGGUCCCUUCUAGACAGAGCGGUUGAAACUCCUUUGACAGAGUGUCCUUCGUUUAGAAUCCUAGUUACAAGGUUCCUAAUGACAUGAUCUGUAUAGUGCAUGUCAUCCUUAGGUGGAGAGUUUUCAGAGUUAUUACCUUGAUUGUUUCCUGCCGUGAAAGAAAGGCCAGGGGCGUCACCUGGGAUUAUAGAAAGUGGAAUAACAUCCAGCACGUCUUCAUCUAGAAACUCCAUGGAGGGAGUCCUUGCUUUAUGAGUGGGUUUUGAACCAGAGGACGAGGGAUGUUGAGACAUUUUGUUGAACUUUUGAGAGAAAUGUGGUUUCCCUACCAGAGGUUGUCUGAGAAGUUGGAUGAAGAUGGAAAUGGUUAUGUUGAGGUAGCGUGUGGAAAUGACAUAGAUACUAGUUCCAAUACUAGGUAAUGAUUUACCAUAAAUGAGGCACUUUCUUUUAAGUGGACAGACAAUAUUUUUAUUACCUUUUCCACUCCACUUUAAUUGCUAUAAAUUCUCAUAAAUACAAAUCCCCAAUUUCCCUCUUAAACAUUCAAACUGAUUAGCAUCCAAAGCUUUUGUAAAUAUGUCAUCUAAUUACAUUUCAGUAGUAACAUGCUCCAGUGCUAUGAUUUUCUCUUCCACAAGUUCUCUAAUAAAGUGAUGACGAAUAUCAAUGUGUUUUGUCCUGCCGUGCUGAAUAGGAUUUUUGGAAAUAUUUAUAGCACUCAGGUUGUCACAGUACAAUGUCAUGACAUCUUGUGUGACAUUGUAUUCAGUCAACAUUUGUUUCAUCCAAACCAGUUGAGAACAACUACUCCAUACAAUGUCAUGACAUCUUGUGUGACAUUGUAUUCAGUCAACAUUUGUUUCAUCCAAACCAGUUGAGAACAACUACUCCUAGCUGCUAUGUAUUCAGCUUCAGCAGUGGAUAGGGACACACAAUUUUCUUUCUUGAUAAACCAUGAUAUCAAAUUGUUCCCCAAGAAGAAACAUCCUCCUGAUGUGCUUUUCCUAUCAUCAGCACUUCCAGCCCAGUUAGUAUCACAGUAACCAAUCAGCAUGGAUCCAUGUCCAUGAGUAUAUAACAUCUCAUAGUCACUGGUGCCAAUGACAUAUUUUAGUAUUCUCUUCACUUGGUUUAUGUGACUGACUUUUGGUUCAACUUGAUAUCUAGCCCACACACCUACAGCAAAUGCAAUGUCAGGUCUUCUUGCUGUGAGAUAUAGCAGACUACCUAUCAUGCUUCCGUAUAGACUUUGAUCUACACUUACACCAUUUUCAUCUUUGGAGAUUUUCACAUAUGUAGAAGCAGGUGU
This 3964-nucleotide long non-coding RNA is filed under the name Lathyrus oleraceus (garden pea). Its description in RNAcentral is "Pisum sativum (pea) long non-coding RNA (PSAT_LNC038335)". The record is from RNAcentral. Lineage: Eukaryota; Viridiplantae; Streptophyta; Magnoliopsida; Fabales; Fabaceae.